This 844-nucleotide long non-coding RNA is filed under the name Mus pahari (shrew mouse). RNAcentral describes it as "lncRNA (MGP_PahariEiJ_G0005597.1)". Lineage: Eukaryota; Metazoa; Chordata; Mammalia; Rodentia; Muridae. The record is from RNAcentral.
GGGGCUGGCAGGAAGAGGUGCCUUCCAGAAGCAGCAACAGCAGCAGCAGCAGCAGCAGCAGCAGCAGCAGCAGCAGCAGCAGCAGCAGCAGCAGCAGCAUCUUUGAGGAGAGACUGAGACUUGGCAAAGGAAAAGAUUGGUAACACAUUGUAACAGGGAUGAAAGCACAGAUUACAUCAUCAUCCUAAACCUACAGCCUCACUUUUGCCUCCAUUAUACCCGGACUACAUGCACAGUUGAACCCAGCUAGAUAGGAAGACUGUGUGCAGGUGAGUGGCGAAGGUCCCGCCCCCUUCACAGCUCCAUCUUUGAUGUCAAAACACAGAUGUGAUCACCUCUGUUGUCCACAUCACUUCUGUUUAUCCUGCUUAUCCCAGAUGUCACCCCAGCCAAGGUCCCUCCAGCUAUAUGGAUGUUAGUUCCAUGUUCCACCAUGGUGGGCCUGCAGGAGGAGGCCCAUCAUCUCCUAUUAUCGGACAGGCAUCAUGGAUCCAGGUCCUCAGUCCCAGGCCUUUCCUAAGCCUGUCUCCAAAAGCUGCACGGCCAAAGGGCAGAAGAGAAAACCCAGGUCUUCCAGCUCAGGAGCAGUUCCCCGCAUCCUGUUGUUCUGUGGUGUCACUGAGACAGCUCAGAGCCCUGCCAGGGAGCUCGAGAAGCCCCCUUUGUCAUCCUGAAUCUCUAGGAGUCUCUGGAAAAGCAGAGUGAAUGAGGUUGACAGUACCCAGUGGCCCCAUAGCAGGCGCCACGUGCAGGACCAUUGUGAUGUGUGUUUCGGGGUCCAGCUGUGGUUCCCAGUCCUCUGCUUCCUCACUCCCGGGGUGCCCAGAUGCCUUUGCACACCAAG